ACGGGGGGACUCCUACGGGAGGCAGCAGUGGGGAAUAUUGGACAAUGGGCGAAAGCCUGAUCCAGCAAUGCCGCGUGAGUGAUGAAGGCCUUAGGGUUGUAAAGCUCUUUUACCCGGGAUGAUAAUGACAGUACCGGGAGAAUAAGCCCCGGCUAACUCCGUGCCAGCAGCCGCGGUAAU
RNAcentral lists this ribosomal RNA (180 nucleotides) under uncultured Thermoanaerobacter sp. RNAcentral describes it as "partial 16S ribosomal RNA". It matches the Rfam family "Bacterial small subunit ribosomal RNA", at positions 326 to 524 of the family's 1533-position model. Lineage: Bacteria; Bacillati; Bacillota; Clostridia; Thermoanaerobacterales; Thermoanaerobacteraceae. The record is from RNAcentral.